GGGCCCGCACAAGCAGCGGAGCAUGUGGUUUAAUUCGAAGCAACGCGAAGAACCUUACCUGGACUUGACAUACCCUGAAUAUCUUAGAGAUAAGAGAAGCCCUUCGGGGCAGGGAUACAGGUGGUGCAUGGUUGUCGUCAGCUCGUGUCGUGAGAUGUUAGGUUAAGUCCUGCAACGAGCGCAACCCCUGUUGUUAGUUGCUAACAUUUAGUUGAGCACUCUAGCAAGACUGCCGCGGUUAACGCGGAGGAAGGUGGGGAUGACGUCAAAUCAUCAUGCCCCUUAUGUCCAGGGCAACACACGUGCUACAAUGGGCAGUACAGAGAGAAGCAAGACCGCAAGGUGGAGCAAACCUCAAAAACUGCCCCCAGUUCGGAUUGCAGGCUGAAACUCGCCUACAUGAAGUUGGAGUUGCUAGUAAUCGCGAAUCAGAAUGUCGCGGUGAAUACGUUCCCGGGCCUU
RNAcentral lists this ribosomal RNA (462 nucleotides) under uncultured bacterium. RNAcentral's name for it is "bacterial SSU rRNA". It matches the Rfam family "Bacterial small subunit ribosomal RNA", at positions 917 to 1382 of the family's 1533-position model. The record is from RNAcentral.